Molecule: small nucleolar RNA, 126 nt
Organism: Meriones unguiculatus (Mongolian gerbil)
Lineage: Eukaryota; Metazoa; Chordata; Mammalia; Rodentia; Muridae
Source: Ensembl
GGCCAAAGUGAUAUCCUCUACGAGGGGCUCAUCAUUGCCCUUCUCUUGAACAUGGCAUCUCGGCAUACCUAAGGUCUUGGUGAAUCAAGGGAUGCUUAUUUUCUUUGACUUCCUUUGGCCACUUAA